Elgaria multicarinata webbii is the source of this 4218-nucleotide long non-coding RNA. RefSeq lists it as uncharacterized. The transcript has 3 exons. The record is from RefSeq and is a predicted model, not a curated record. NCBI's taxonomy places the organism in Eukaryota, Metazoa, Chordata, Lepidosauria, Squamata, Anguidae.
UCUCUAGGGAGCUCAUUCACAGCUGGGGAACACACACACACACACACACACACACACACACACACACACACACAUAUAUAUAUAUAUAUAUAUAUAUAUAUUGCACAAGCAUCCUUUUAUCCUGUUGACACUAGGUGGUGCUUUUGUUCUAAUUAGUUAUGUGCUGAUGUAUUUUUACAGCUGCAGAAAGAGAAAGAGAGAGAGAGGUACAUCCCCACAUAAUUUUAUGUUGUCACCCAUGGGGCAUUUGACAAACACGACUAUGUUGAUAUAUGCUCCAAAGAUUUUGUCUUGUUCUUGGAAAACUUAACUCAGGACAAUUAUUACCAUGCAUAGGACAUCAAAGUUCUUUAAUACGGUAGGUAUCACUUUGUCCAUCCCCUUUGCUCCUACCUGUCUCCCUCCCCUCCUCUCUCAGGGAAAACAAUUUACACAGCCUUCACCCUCCUGAGCUGACAAAGCUUCACUCACAACUUACAGCAAAGAGGUGAGCUGAGCUGAGAGCUUUUCUCUCACAGCUGCCUGUCUUCGAGAUUGGCUCGAUUUAAUAUCACAAAUAUAAACCACUCACUACAUCUGCAGAGGAUUGGACAUAAUCCCACAGGGCUCUCUCCAACUGCCUCUCUGUCUUUUUAAGAUACACAAGCACGCACGCACACAAACUCACACACACACACACACGCUGAGGAACAAUACUAUAGGAGUCAAGUUUUACUGGUACAGUAAAUUAGGCAUAGGCAGAAUGUAGAUAUGGAUCUAUUGAUGGUUUGAAGUAGAUCAGCAAGGAUUUCUGACUCCAAAUGUUUUAACAAUAGCAGUAACAAAAUGGCACCCACAUACCCUAAUUCAGGGGUGCAGAACUUCUUCCAGCCCAACAGCCAAAUUGCAUUUUGGAGAAGCUCUUGGAGGCCACAUUCUAAAUGAUGGGUUGAAGGCAAAAGAGGGCAAUGCCAACAAUACUAAAACGUGAGCACAUUUUAGCUUAAAACUCACACUGCCAGUGACUAAGCCCUAAGAGAAGCAUUUUCCAGGGCAUGGUCUGAAGGCACACAUGAGUCAGUCACUUUGCUGAAGCUAAGUAGGUCUGGGUCUUGUCAAUGCUUGAAGGGGAGACCACCUGGGAACCACAUGCAGUCACUUUGAGUUCUGUGGUGGAAGAAAGGUGGAAUAUAAGAAAUAUUUUUUGACCUUUUAGAAGGCAGGAAACCACCAAAGGUUGAUGGUUGGAGGAAGGGUAUGGGCCCUUCUGGGAAGCCCCGGAAAGCCAGAUUUGGAGCCCUGAAGGUUCUGAACCCCUGCCCUAAAUUAUCCUACUGAAAGCUUGGGGUAACCAGGAGAGGAUUUUUGUGAGGAAGGGCUGUGAGCUCUAUUGCAUUCUAGUGAUGUCAGGGAGAGUUUCAGCAUUGCUAAGAUUAGCUAAGAUGAGCUUUCGGUGUUCUCAGAGCAGAGCCAGUGGGAGUCACCUCAUUCUCCAUCCACCUGCUGGCUUCCACCUUGGAAACAAGAAGCUCUCUAUAAGAAUACCGACAGAAAUAAGCUCACACAGAUUCUGAUAUUGCAAAGGCUGAAUAGGCCCAAACCCUUCCAGACUAAGAGGAUCAUCAGACAAGCGCUUUAUAGCAUGCUUGUUACACAGUUCCUUUUCCUGACGCUGUCCACCUUCCACAUGCCUCCUGCUCCUUCGGUCAUUUUCCCAUUACAAAAAACAAAAAACAAAAAAAAGCUCCUGGAAAAUCCGAUUUUUCCACCUACAGUGAAAUCUGCUACCAUUUUCUGCUGUGUGCAGGGAAAGCAGCAUGAUAAAAAUACCUUCUUCAAUGGGCUACGUAGACUUUGUUUACGUCCUCUUUUUUCAGUGUGUGAAGGAAGAGGAAGCUGCUCAUCCCUAUUGUGGGACAGGAGGGAAACAUGAUUCUCUUCCUCAUCUCAAGAAGCUCUAUUUCUAAUUAAAUGUCAGCUAAUAAUUAGAAGGCCCCAUGGCUGUGCCAAAUCUAUCCUUGACAAGUACUCAAAACACAUCCCUUGGCCCAGAAUUCUUAAAAUCUAAGUGAAUGUCUUUUGCCUCAAGCUCUGGUAGGUCUCAGGGUAUUAGUAAAAAACCAACAACCAAGUAUAUUCCACCCUUGCUGUAACUGAUUCCCUGAAAUAGUCAGUCCUGGUAAUUUCUAGGUGGUUCAUAUCCACUAUAUGCCUCAUGGACAGAAAAGAGAUAUUUAAAGGAGAGGCCAUAGCUCAGUUGUAGAGCACAUAGUUUCCACGCAGAAGGUCCCAGGUUCAAUCUUCAGCAUUUCCAGGUAGGGCUAGGAAAGAAUCCUACCCGAAAUCCUGGAGAGCCACUGCCAGUCAGUGUCAACAAUACUGGGCUAUUGGUUUGCUUAGUAUAAGGCAGCUUUCUACAUCCCUUUGUGGUCUUUUGUAAGCUGAAUGAAUUCUGGAAACCUCUCCAGUGAACGCACAAACAUGAUGCAGAUAUCUUUUGCUGAAACAAACUACUCCACUUCAAAAUGGGGUAAAUCAUACCUCAGAUGUUUUACUGAGGUAAAAUGUCUAUGAAUGCUGUUUGGGCGAUGGACAUUUUUCCAGGCAGAAAGGGUGUGUACCCAGAAGAGAUUCUAUAGUUGUUUUCUGUAUCUCUCACCUUGUCUCCCUUUGAAUUAUGUGCACGUGACACGUGUUUUUGUGGGGUUAGCCAUAUUUUUUUUAUUGACAAUGUCCCAGUAAUUGAAUUUACUUACAGAGUCUUAUGCAGAAAAAUCACAGCGGCCAUGACAAAAAUGGCAAUCUUCCAGUGACCAUGGUAUUUCUUGACAGUGUUCUGGAGCUUGACUCAACUCCUGAUUCAUUAUUAGAAACCAAGAUGGUGGCUGUCUAGGUCUAUUAAUUAUUUUUAAAAGAGGGCCUUGGGAUGGCAUUCAAGAUGGGCCAUGUUGGGACCUGAGGCAUGGCUCAAGAAUGCUACAUGGUAGCAUCGGGAUGAGAUCAAGACAGUUUCAGAUUGUUAUCCUUACAUCAGUAUUACUCAUCUACCAGGCUACCUGGAUUAGUUUACAUCAAAUACGUAAAGGAACUGCAGUAAACUAGUUUGGUUGGUUUGUUUAAUAUCCUAUACAAUGGCCUGGUUUGCAUGUCACAGUUGCAUUUCCUGGAUUGCUUAAACCAGGAAUUGUGGGGACAGACAGAGUGCAUGAGCUCUGCACUAAUCAUUUCUACUUUUAAUUAACCCAACAAUUACCCGUGGUUUGUUGUUGGUUAAACUCUGGGUUGUUUAACCUAUAAAUAACCCAGAGUUUCCAGGUUUCCAGGGGGGCAUUCCUGGGUUGUUGAUUAAAAGUGGAAACUAAAAGCUCAUGUGCUCCAUUCAUCCCCACAAUUAUUGAGUAGAAUAACCCAGGAAUUGCUGCCAUGAUGUGCAAGCCAGAUCUAUUAGUUUGAACUUUCAGAACAAUUCACCACAAACGCAAAAGUCACACACCAUAAUGCAUAUAAAUACUUUUUUUUUCCAAAUUAGCUGCAGCAGCAGCAGCACACAGAAUAAAAGCCAGUGAUGCAGGUUAAAAGUAAUACCAACUUUAGUCCACUCAAAACUGAAAUAGAAUGUACAUUUUCCAAAUUGUAUAGAUUGUCUCUUGAGAAACAUUAUUAUGAUGCUUGUCUGCUCGGGUAUUUUUGGUGAAGGUUUUUUUUAAAAAACUCCACAAAUCCUUUCUGUACUGCUUGCACAGUUCUAUUCAGUUAUCAAUUGCCCUUAAACAAGAAAACAGUGUUACAUAGAAAAUAUGGAUGGAUUGACGCUUCAGGUUUUUAUGGUCUGGUUUUCUGAUUAUUCUGUUCCAUUUCCACAGAGACAGUAUUUUUUUAAAAAGAAAAUCUUUCCACAGACUUCUGAUUCUUAUCUGUGGUUACAGGUUUACUCAGCCAUGUUUACUUAAUAGAGUCUGAAGCAAACUUCUACCCAAAGGCAUGAUGGGCACGACAUCCCUCUUCCCUUCCAGGAUAUCAUGCUUCUAUUUAGAUGCCCAGAGAUGAUCCCGGAGUAGAGGGCAAUUGCGACCUGAUCCCAUCCAACUAUGGGAUCUGCAUCUAACGGUUCAACAUCUAAGGUCCUCCUCCGGGUGCCUACUCCGAGAGAAGCUCGGAGUUUGACAACGAGGGAUAGGGCCUUUUCGGUGGUGGCCCCCAGGCUUUGGAAUGAUCUCCCUGAUGAUGCUCGCCUGGCAC